This 774-nucleotide ribosomal RNA is filed under the name uncultured Neocallimastigales. RNAcentral's name for it is "partial large subunit ribosomal RNA". It matches the Rfam family "Eukaryotic large subunit ribosomal RNA", at positions 24 to 637 of the family's 3401-position model. The record is from RNAcentral. Lineage: Eukaryota; Fungi; Neocallimastigomycota; Neocallimastigomycetes; Neocallimastigales.
AUGUGAUCGUCUCUCGCAUAUCAAUAAGCGGAGGAAAAGAAACUAACAAGGAUUCCCCUAGUAACGGCGAGUGAAGCGGGAAGAGCUCAAAUUUGAAAUCUUAAAGGGUUUCCCUUUACGAAUUGUAGUUUAAAGAAGUGUUUUCUGCUGAAGGUUUUGGUAAAAGUUCUUUGGAAUAGGACAUCAUAGAGGGUGAGAAUCCCGUAUUUGACCAUUACUUUCAGCUUUGUGAUACACUUUCAAAGAGUCGGAUUGUUUGGGAAUGCAGUCCAAAAUGGGUGGUAAAUUUCAUCUAAAGCUAAAUAUUGGCGAGAGACCGAUAGCGAACAAGUACCGUGAGGGAAAGAUGAAAAGAACUUUGAAAAGAGAGUUAAACAGUACGUGAAAUUGUCAAAAGGGAAGCGUUUGACACCAGUGUUGUUUUUCUGAAAAUCAAUUAAAGAACUGUUUAUGCUAAGUUGUUUAGACUUUAUCAGCUAACUGUUUAGUUUUGAGCUUUUCUUUAAUGCACUUUUCAGUUAACAAGUCAACAUCAAUUUCUUUUGCUGUAAAAAAGCUUGAGGAAGGUGGCUUGAGAUUCGUCUUAAGUGUUUAUAGCCUCUUGCCUAUGCAGUCGGAGAGAUUGAGGUCUGCAGCGUAGAUCCUUCGGGGCUAAAUGCAUUUGUGCUAAGUUGUAGCAUUUUAUAGACAACUUGUUGACUAUGAUUUGUCUUGUAGCUUACUCGCUUAUGUUAUUUUACCUACGCUUAGGAUGUUGACAGCAGUAUAGACUGU